Molecule: ribosomal RNA, 775 nt
Filed under: uncultured Neocallimastigales
Lineage: Eukaryota; Fungi; Neocallimastigomycota; Neocallimastigomycetes; Neocallimastigales
Description: partial large subunit ribosomal RNA
Rfam family: Eukaryotic large subunit ribosomal RNA
Source: RNAcentral
UUAUGUGAUCGUCUCUCGCAUAUCAAUAAGCGGAGGAAAAGAAACUAACAAGGAUUCCCCUAGUAACGGCGAGUGAAGCGGGAAGAGCUCAAAUUUGAAAUCUUAAAGGGUUUCCCUUUACGAAUUGUAGUUUAAAGAAGUGUUUUCUGUUGAGGUUUUGGUAAAAGUUCUUUGGAAUAGGACAUCAUAGAGGGUGAGAAUCCCGUAUUUGACCUUUACUUUCAACUUUGUGAUACACUUUCAAAGAGUCGGAUUGUUUGGGAAUGCAGUCCAAAAUGGGUGGUAAAUUUCAUCUAAAGCUAAAUAUUGGCGAGAGACCGAUAGCGAACAAGUACCGUGAGGGAAAGAUGAAAAGAACUUUGAAAAGAGAGUUAAACAGUACGUGAAAUUGUCAAAAGGGAAGCGUUUGACACCAGUGUUGUUUUUCUGAGAAUCAAUUAAAGAACUGUUUAUGCUAAGUUGUUUAGACUUUAUCAGCUAACUGUUUAGUUUUGAGCUUUUCUUUAAUGCACUUUUCAGUUAACAAGUCAACAUCAAUUUCUUUUGCUGUAAAAAAGCUUGAGGAAGGUGGCUUGAGAUUCGUCUUAAGUGUUUAUAGCCUCUUGCCUAUGCAGUCGGAGAGAUUGAGGUCUGCAGCGUAGAUCCUUCGGGGCUAAAUGCAUUUGUGCUAAGUUAUAGCAUUUUAUAGACAACUUGUUGACUAUGAUUUGUCUUGUAGCUUACUCGCUUAUGUUAUUUUACCUACGCUUAGGAUGUUGACACACGCGCGUGCUCG